Molecule: ribosomal RNA, 444 nt
Filed under: Haemophilus influenzae
Lineage: Bacteria; Pseudomonadati; Pseudomonadota; Gammaproteobacteria; Pasteurellales; Pasteurellaceae
Description: bacterial LSU rRNA
Rfam family: Bacterial large subunit ribosomal RNA
Source: RNAcentral
AUAUAGCACCGAAGCUGCGGCAUCAGGCGUAUCACUAAUACGCCUUACGAUUAACAAGCUAGAAUGGCGCGAAGCGUCAUGAAAGGUUGUUCAAGCAACCCGAACGUUGAGUCGGGCAUCUUAGAGUGAGGAUGAUUAGUGAUACGCCUGUUGGGUAGGGGAGCGUUGUGUAAGCGGAUGAAGGUUAAUCGAGAGGUUAGUUGGACGUAUCACAAGUGCGAAUGCUGACAUAAGUAACGAUAAAACGGGUGAAAAACCCGUUCGCCGGAAGACCAAGGGUUCCUGUCCAACGUUAAUCGGGGCAGGGUGAGUCGGCCCCUAAGGCGAGGCUGAGAAGCGUAGUCGAUGGGAAACAGGUUAAUAUUCCUGUACUUGGUAAAGCUGCGAUGUGGGGACGGAGUAGGUUAGGUUAUCGCACUGUUGGAUAUGUGCGUUUAAGUUGGU